AGUGUCCCCAUGAGAGAGAUGCAGGCUGAGAUUCGCCUCACCACUGCAUGCCUGCUGUUUUCUGCUGGACUGUACAGAGAGGAGUGAGUCAUCCACAGCUCUGCAGGGCCUGCUUCUUCCUAGGAGGUGGCACGCACCAUGCAAAAGAAUGACCGGUCCGGGGACGAAAGCCAGCGGGACAGUGUGUCCGAUGAUUCAUCUGACUCCCCAGAGCCGGGGCCAGUCA
Molecule: long non-coding RNA, 226 nt
Filed under: Sander lucioperca (pikeperch)
Lineage: Eukaryota; Metazoa; Chordata; Actinopteri; Perciformes; Percidae
Description: lncRNA (ENSSLUG00000010637.1)
Source: RNAcentral